CUGCAACCCGACUCCAUGAAGCUGGAUUCGCUAGUAAUCGCGCAUCAGCCACGGCGCGGUGAAUACGUUCCCGGGCCUUGUACACACCGCCCGUCAAGCCAUGGAAGCCGGGAGUGCCUGAAGUACGCGACCGCAAGGAGCGUCCUAAGGUAAAACCGGUGACUGGGGCUAAGUCGUAACAAGGUAAC
Molecule: ribosomal RNA, 188 nt
Filed under: uncultured bacterium
Lineage: Bacteria
Description: partial 16S ribosomal RNA
Rfam family: Bacterial small subunit ribosomal RNA
Source: RNAcentral